UGGGGAAUAUUGCACAAUGGGCGGAAGCCUGAUGCAGCGACGCCGCGUGAGGGAUGACGGCCUUCGGGUUGUAAACCUCUUUCAGCAGGGAAGAAGCGCAAGUGACGGUACCUGCAGAAGAAGCACCGGCUAACUACGUGCCAGCAGCCGCGGUAAUACGUAGGGUGCGAGCGUUGUCCGGAAUUAUUGGGCGUAAAGAGCUCGUAGGCGGCUUGUCGCGUCGGAUGUGAAAGCCCGGGGCUUAACUCCGGGUCUGCAUUCGAUACGGGCAGGCUAGAGUGCGGUAGGGGAGAUCGGAAUUCCUGGUGUAGCGGUGAAAUGCGCAGAUAUCAGGAGGAACACCGGUGGCGAAGGCGGAUCUCUGGGCCGUUACUGACGCUGAGGAGCGAAAGCGUGGGGAGCGAACA
Molecule: ribosomal RNA, 407 nt
Filed under: uncultured Streptomyces sp.
Lineage: Bacteria; Bacillati; Actinomycetota; Actinomycetes; Kitasatosporales; Streptomycetaceae
Description: bacterial SSU rRNA
Rfam family: Bacterial small subunit ribosomal RNA
Source: RNAcentral